Molecule: long non-coding RNA, 390 nt
Filed under: Solanum tuberosum (potato)
Lineage: Eukaryota; Viridiplantae; Streptophyta; Magnoliopsida; Solanales; Solanaceae
Description: long non-coding RNA (STUB_LNC007931)
Source: RNAcentral
CUCCUUUCUUCCUCGGCGUUGCUGCUUUUGCAAUUGAAUUUCUAUGUUCUUUUUUUUCCAAAUUGUUUCACAAUUGGUUCCAAACAAAAAUUAAUUUUCUUUUAUUUAUAAGCAACAUGUAUUUUCAAUUGAUUAUGAAAACUCUUAAAAGUAGUAUUGUCUGUGUUUGUGUCGCGUUUCUUCCAUCAGGUUUGCCCAAUUUCUCCUAAAAUUUUAUCAAAUUCCACCCCUUUGAAUCGACGAGGCUUAUCAUUUGCCUCCAUGGAUCAAUUUCUGAUUCUAAAUCGUGAUCUUAAACUUUAUUCUUGUUGUAAGUUGGCCAAAUUCUUCUUUUUUUUUCUGUUUAAUCCCCUUCAUCAUCAAUGUCUAUUUUUCUCUGGGAGUGUGUAG